RNAcentral lists this ribosomal RNA (1380 nucleotides) under Triticum aestivum (bread wheat). RNAcentral describes it as "partial small subunit ribosomal RNA". The record is from RNAcentral. Lineage: Eukaryota; Viridiplantae; Streptophyta; Magnoliopsida; Poales; Poaceae.
AUGGCUUCAACGCCCGUCGACCGCCAUCUCUCUCUACACGCGGAUCGUGAGGAGGGCCCGAUCAUCUGGCUUCACGACUUCCAAAUGUUUGAGGACAAAUCCAGUGCCAUUAACCUUACUACCCGGCGAUUAGGCGCCAAACUCGCCCAGAUGAUCAUGAAGUGCUCCUUCUAUGAUGACAAACUAGUUGUUGGAAGGUCUGAAUAUAAAGAAAUAAUUGAAGAAUCACUGGGUCUAACCUGUGUGUACAAUGAUCAUGUGAUGGAGGUGAUGUGGGGUCUGCAGAAUCUCAUGCAUACUUCUUUUCCUGAAGAAAAAUCUAAGAUGUCUAGGGAUGACCAGCUCCUCGUGAGCAAAGGAUUGUAUAUGGUCUUAGAUCGACACGGCAUUAAGAUCAAGGCAGAGAUGCUUAAUGAGCAUAUUAUUAAGAAGACCCGCGAUGUACGUAAUACUGAUUUACGUGAAGAUGCAGUUGCAAUUGUGUUGCACGAAAUGGUUGAUGCCUAUUUCGAGGAGUUUUCUAAAAUUGAUACCGAGGAAUGGAGUUUAUUCAAACUAGCAUUAGCUUUGAAAGUAAUGAUUGAUCCUCAUGGAGGACUUAAAGCUGGUGACCCUUAUGAGAUGUUCACACAUGACGAGUUAAUAGUGAUGGGGCGUGACGCAUCUAAAUAUGAAGGUACUCUUGAUAAGAAAACUGUCUUGGCAAUGUACAAUGACGCUGUUGUUCUCCGUGAGGACAAGAUGGAUUUGCUGUACGAAUUGGACUGCUUGGUUGAGGAGGCUAAAGGAGCACUGGAAACUGAAGAAGUGCUGGAGAAGCUUGCAACAUUAAGUGUUGACUCCAAGCAGCAAACUGACUGUACAUCUUCAACAGCGGUGAGUCUGACAGUACCCAACCAAAGCAGCAUCUAUAAGGAGCAACACUGUCCUAUCACAGAUGCAGAUGGCGCGGAGAUCUCGCCAACCACUCCAGAUGAAGUUACUGCUGAAAGGGAUGCUGUCCGGGAAAAUACACAGGCUCAAGAAACUACUGCUGAAGGAAGAAAGGAGAUCGGUACUGCUGAAGGAAGAAUGAACCUCGGUACUGCUGAAGGAAGAAUGAACCUUGGUACUGCUGGAGGAAGAAUAAACCUCGGUACUGCUGAAGGAAGAAAGGAGCUCAGUCGCAUUAUUGCUCAGAAGGUGCCCCCUUGUCAUUAUCAAGAAUGGAAGCCUCUUCACAUUCCGCAGCUCAUUCCAACCACUCCAUAUGGUGCGGAGAUCUUGCCAACCACUCCAAAUGAAGUUACUGCUGAAAGGAAUGCUGUCCGGGAAAAUACGCAGGCUCAAGAAACUACCGCUGAAGGAAGAAAGGAGAUCGGUCACAUUCUUGGUCAGUAG